Molecule: ribosomal RNA, 625 nt
Filed under: Bacillus sp. (in: firmicutes)
Lineage: Bacteria; Bacillati; Bacillota; Bacilli; Caryophanales; Bacillaceae
Description: bacterial SSU rRNA
Rfam family: Bacterial small subunit ribosomal RNA
Source: RNAcentral
CAUGCGAGUCGAGCGGACUUACAAAAGCUUGCUUUUGUAAGUUAGCGGCGGACGGGUGAGUAACACGUGGGCAACCUGCCCUUGAGACUGGGAUAACUUCGGGAAACCGGAGCUAAUACCGGAUAAUAUAAGGAACCUCCUGGUUCCUUAUUGAAAGAUGGUUUCGGCUAUCACUUAAGGAUGGGCCCGCGGCGCAUUAGCUAGUUGGUGAGGUAACGGCUCACCAAGGCGACGAUGCGUAGCCGACCUGAGAGGGUGAUCGGCCACACUGGGACUGAGACACGGCCCAGACUCCUACGGGAGGCAGCAGUAGGGAAUCUUCCACAAUGGACGAAAGUCUGAUGGAGCAACGCCGCGUGAGUGAUGAAGGCCUUCGGGUCGUAAAGCUCUGUUGUUAGGGAAGAACAAGUGCGAGAGUAACUGCUCGCACCUUGACGGUACCUAACCAGAAAGCCACGGCUAACUACGUGCCAGCAGCCGCGGUAAUACGUAGGUGGCAAGCGUUAUCCGGAAUUAUUGGGCGUAAAGCGCGCGCAGGUGGUUUCUUAAGUCUGAUGUGAAAGCCCACGGCUCAACCGUGGAGGGUCAUUGGAAACUGGGGAACUUGAGUGCAGAAGAGGAAAGU